AUUGAACGCUGGCGGCAUGCCUUACACAUGCAAGUCGAACGGCAGCACGGGAGCAAUCCUGGUGGCGAGUGGCGAACGGGUGAGUAAUAUAUCGGAACGUGCCCAGUCGUGGGGGAUAACGUAGCGAAAGCUACGCUAAUACCGCAUACUAUCUAUGGAUGAAAGCGGGGGAUCGCAAGACCUCGCGCGAUUGGAGCGGCCGAUAUCAGAUUAGGUAGUUGGUGAGGUAAAGGCUCACCAAGCCGACGAUCUGUAGCUGGUCUGAGAGGACGACCAGCCACACUGGGACUGAGACACGGCCCAGACUCCUACGGGAGGCAGCAGUGGGGAAUUUUGGACAAUGGGCGCAAGCCUGAUCCAGCAAUGCCGCGUGCAGGAUGAAGGCCUCGGUUGUAAC
Molecule: ribosomal RNA, 397 nt
Filed under: uncultured bacterium
Lineage: Bacteria
Description: bacterial SSU rRNA
Rfam family: Bacterial small subunit ribosomal RNA
Source: RNAcentral